This is a non-coding RNA of Parelaphostrongylus tenuis, 72 nucleotides long. NCBI's taxonomy places the organism in Eukaryota, Metazoa, Nematoda, Chromadorea, Rhabditida, Metastrongylidae. The record is from the annotation of a GenBank genome assembly.
GAUUCAGUAGUGUAGUGGUAGUACACGUCUCCGGUGUGGAUGAAACGUGAGUUCGACUCCCGCCUGAGGUCG